CAAGGAUUCCCCUAGUAACUGCGAGUGAAGCGGGAAAAGCUCAAAUUUGAAAUCUGGCAGUCUUUUUUUUCUUCUUUGGCUGUCCGAGUUGUAAUCUAGAGAAGUGCUUACCUGCACUGGACCAUGUAUAAGUCUCCUGGAAUGGAGCGUCACAGAGGGUGAGAAUCCCGUCUUUGACAUGGACCGCCAGUGUGUUGUGGUGUGCUCUCAAAGAGUCGAGUUGUUUGGGAAUGCAGCUCUAAAUGGGUGGUAAACUCCAUCUAAAGCUAAAUAUUGGCGAGAGACCGAUAGUGAACAAGUACCGUGAGGGAAAGAUGAAAAGGACUUUGGAAAGAGAGUUAAACAGUAUGUGAAAUUGUUGAAAGGGAAACGCUUGAAGUCAGUUAUGUUGGCUAGGGAUCAACCUAGCUGUUUUUUGCUGGGUGAAUUUCCUAGUCUGACAGGCCAACAUCAGUCUUGACUGCUGGAAAAGAGCAGAGGGAAUGUGGCACCUUUGGGUGUGUUAUAGCCUUUUGUCAUAUGUGGCAGUUGGGACUGAGGGAUGCAGCAUGCCGCGAGGCUGGGUUUCUGACCACGUUCAUGCUCAGGAUGUUGGCUUUUAAUGGCUUCAAUCGACCCGUCUUGAAACACGGACCAAGGAGUCUAACAUGCCUGCGAGUGUUUGGGUGGGGAAAACCCUUGUGCACAAUGAAAGUGAAAGUUGAGAUCCCUGUCAUGGGGAGCAUCGACGCCCGGACCUGAGCUUUUAGCGACGGAUCUGCGGUAGAGCAUGCAUGUUGGGACCCGAAAGAUGGUGAACUAUGCCUGAAUAGGGCAAAGCCAGAGGAAACUCUGGUGGAGGCUCGUAGCGAUUCUGACGUGCAAAUCGAUCGUCAAAUUUGGGUAUAGGGGCGAAAGACUAA
RNAcentral lists this ribosomal RNA (902 nucleotides) under Amanita aff. brunneofuliginea. RNAcentral's name for it is "eukaryotic LSU rRNA". It matches the Rfam family "Eukaryotic large subunit ribosomal RNA", at positions 69 to 934 of the family's 3401-position model. Lineage: Eukaryota; Fungi; Basidiomycota; Agaricomycetes; Agaricales; Amanitaceae. The record is from RNAcentral.